UUCAAGUACCCAACAUGGAUUUGAAUGUU
RNAcentral lists this non-coding RNA (29 nucleotides) under Rattus norvegicus (Norway rat). Lineage: Eukaryota; Metazoa; Chordata; Mammalia; Rodentia; Muridae. The record is from RNAcentral.